RNAcentral lists this ribosomal RNA (387 nucleotides) under uncultured bacterium. RNAcentral's name for it is "bacterial SSU rRNA". It matches the Rfam family "Bacterial small subunit ribosomal RNA", at positions 28 to 416 of the family's 1533-position model. The record is from RNAcentral.
GAUGAACGCUAGCGGCAGGCUUAACACAUGCAAGUCGAGGGGUAGAGGAAGCUUGCUUCCUUGAGACCGGCGCACGGGUGCGUAACGCGUAUACAAUCUACCUUUUACAGAGGGAUAGCCCCAGAGAAAUUUGGAUUAAUACCUCAUAGUAUUUUCGGAUCGCAUGAUUUGAUUAUUAAAGUUCCAACGGUAAAGAUGAGUAUGCGUCCCAUUAGCUAGAUGGUAAGGUAACGGCUUACCAUGGCAAUGAUGGGUAGGGGUCCUGAGAGGGAGAUCCCCCACACUGGGACUGAGACACGGCCCAGACUCCUACGGGAGGCAGCAGUGGGGAAUAUUGGACAAUGGGCGAAAGCCUGAUCCAGCAAUGCCGCGUGAGUGAUGAAGGCC